Molecule: non-coding RNA, 73 nt
Organism: Stegodyphus mimosarum
Lineage: Eukaryota; Metazoa; Arthropoda; Arachnida; Araneae; Eresidae
Source: Rfam
UCCUUCGUGGUGUAGUGGUCGGCACACUCGGCACGUAUUCCAGAGGUCCGUGGUUCGAAUCCCGGCAAGGGCA